This is a long non-coding RNA of Centruroides sculpturatus (bark scorpion), 1365 nucleotides long. RefSeq lists it as uncharacterized. NCBI's taxonomy places the organism in Eukaryota, Metazoa, Arthropoda, Arachnida, Scorpiones, Buthidae. The transcript is spliced from 2 exons. The record is from RefSeq and is a predicted model, not a curated record.
UACACAAUUGAAGAGAUGAAAAUUUCAUUACAAGUACAUUUAGGAGAGAUGUUAUUUCAAAAUCUGCCUGGGAACAAUAAUACAUUUCUAGAAAUGUAUUUGUUAAAAAUUAGUGUGUUCUUUUACAAUGAAAAAGUUUAUCAAAUUAUAUCUUAAAUGUUAUAUAAAAAAUUAAAUUUUAUAUUUCAGUUCUUUGGAUUUGUUGGAACUGGUCUUUAUGGAGCUGAUGCAUUUUUGAAGUUUAAAGCUUGGCAAAGAGGUGACUCUGCACAAGGAACUAGUAUUAUUCCAUCAGCAACUUCUCCCACAUCACCAAUGAGUCCAUCUUAUGCAGCUUAUUGAAAAAUUUAGUCAGAAUCAAACCCUAAUGAGACGUCUCAUGACUGACAUCAGUUAUCGUCUGAUUCUUCAAAUGUAAUAGAUUUUAGAAACAGAAAUAGAAAACAAAAUACAUGUUCAUUAUUGUCACACUAUAUUUAUUUGCAUGCAUGGAUGUUAGAAUGCAUUUAUACUAUAAUUAAAGAAGGAUGAUAAUAUGUCUGUAUCUGUAUUAGGGAAUCUAUCAAUAGAUUAUUAGAAUUUAGAUCUGUGACUUUGGUGAAAUCUUAUUUUUAUUAAAUGUUAUAUUUAUGUGUUUUUUUAGUUUAUAUAUUAUUUAAUCUUUUAGGUUUACAAUAAUAAUAAUAAUAAUAAUAAUCAUGAUAAAGAAAUUUAAACUGUAUUUUACAAUAAAAAAAAGACUUGUUUGUUGUAUAUCAAGAUAAAUAUUACUGUAAAAUAUUAUUAAAGAAAGUGUAUAUAGUUGUAAAAUGUAACUAUCAUGUAUAUGAUGAUGUAUAAGAUAACAGUAGAAAAUAUAUUUCAUUAUUAUAUUUUAUAAAUUAUAUAUAUUUUACUAUUAUGAUAUAGUGAAAUUAUAUUUUAAAUUAAAAAUCAAAUAAAACAUGGUUAAGUCACUUUAUGUAUAUGAUGAUUAUGCUAUUAUUACUGAUAAUAAUACAUUUAAUUGAAUUGUUGCUGAUAAAGAAAUAAUCAUAAGUGUUACAACAAUUAUUUUUACCACUUUUUCAAAAAUGCAAAAAUUAUAAUUUUAUAUUACUUAUGAGUAUGAAAUAUAUGAAAUAGGUUUCAUGGAAAUGCUUUCCUUGUUUUAUGAAAUUAGAAAUAUUUCUCAUCUGAAAAAUUAUCUUACUAAAUCUUUCCAAUGAAAUAAAUGUGAUACUAUACAUUUUAAUAAUUAUAACUGUUAUUAACAGACUAUUAAUUUAAAAUAAACAUAUCAAAGUUGAAAAACUCCACCUAAAGUCGACAAUCACAACAACAACAAUACUAUCAUUAAUUACUGUAUAUCCAGUAUACAAAAUU